UACGGGGGGGGCAAGCGUUGUUCGGAAUUACUGGGCGUAAAGGGCUUGUAGGCGGCCAACUAAGUCCGACGUGAAAUCCCCAGGCUUAACCUGGGAACUGCGUCGGAUACUGGAUGGCUUGAAUUCGGGAGAGGGAUGCAGAAUUCCAGGUGUAGCGGUGAAAUGCGUAGAUAUCUGGAGGAAUACCGGUGGCGAAGGCGGCAUCCUGGACCGACAUUGACGCUGAGGAGCGAAAGCUGGGGGAGCAAACGGG
RNAcentral lists this ribosomal RNA (253 nucleotides) under uncultured bacterium. RNAcentral describes it as "partial 16S ribosomal RNA". It matches the Rfam family "Bacterial small subunit ribosomal RNA", at positions 524 to 776 of the family's 1533-position model. The record is from RNAcentral.